This is a non-coding RNA of Oryza glumipatula, 205 nucleotides long. NCBI's taxonomy places the organism in Eukaryota, Viridiplantae, Streptophyta, Magnoliopsida, Poales, Poaceae. The record is from Rfam.
UUUAAGUGCAACCAUCCGUUACCGCGCCUAACUUUGAUCAUCUAUUUUAUUUGAAAAUUUUUUAUAAUUAGUGUUUUGGUUAUUAUGAGAUGAUAAAAUAUAAAUAAUAUUUUACUCGUGACUUAUGUUUUUAAAAUUCUUUUAAAAAUUUUCAAAUAAGACGAAUCGUCAAAGUUAGACGCGGAAAACUAUGGCUGCACUUAAA